CACAUCGCGUUAAAACGCCGGAGUUAAGCAAUGUCGAGCCUGUCCAGUACCUAGAUGGGUGACCGCUUUGGAAUACAAGGUGCUGUAAG
Acanthosepion pharaonis is the source of this 89-nucleotide non-coding RNA. Lineage: Eukaryota; Metazoa; Mollusca; Cephalopoda; Sepiida; Sepiidae. The record is from the annotation of a GenBank genome assembly.